GGCGCCGUGGCUCAGUUGGUUAAUGCGUCUGUCUAGUAAACAGGAGAUCACGAGUUCGAAUCUCGUCGGUGCCU
RNAcentral lists this transfer RNA (74 nucleotides) under Trichonephila inaurata madagascariensis. It matches the Rfam family "tRNA". Rfam says of the family: Transfer RNA (tRNA) molecules are approximately 80 nucleotides in length. Their secondary structure includes four short double-helical elements and three loops (D, anti-codon, and T loops). Lineage: Eukaryota; Metazoa; Arthropoda; Arachnida; Araneae; Nephilidae. The record is from Rfam by way of RNAcentral.